AGACUUUGUCGAUUGCUGCAAUAUUUUAUAUUGUUGAGGAAAAUCCACACUAGCACUUUCUGAGACGAAAGUAGUGUUCGUGCUGAGUCUAAUAAAUUCAGGCAGCUUUUUUAAAGUUGACAAAUAGUGGCACAGAAACCAGGUCUGCUUUUUAUAAGUAAGAGUGAAAAGGCUAAACUUCGCGAGCUAGAAAUCUAAAUUAUGGUAAGAGAGCCUGACAAAGGGAAAUGAACUGGAGUUGGGAAGGCAACCCUGCAUGCCUUAGAUAAAUAAUCGACGCCCUGCAAAGGGAACAAAAAGUGGUUUAUAAAG
This 312-nucleotide RNase P RNA is filed under the name [Mycoplasma] gypis. RNAcentral's name for it is "RNase P RNA component class B". It matches the Rfam family "Bacterial RNase P class B". Rfam says of the family: Ribonuclease P (RNase P) is a ubiquitous endoribonuclease, found in archaea, bacteria and eukarya as well as chloroplasts and mitochondria. Its best characterised activity is the generation of mature 5'-ends of tRNAs by cleaving the 5'-leader elements of precursor-tRNAs. The record is from RNAcentral. Lineage: Bacteria; Bacillati; Mycoplasmatota; Mycoplasmoidales; Metamycoplasmataceae.